Molecule: ribosomal RNA, 250 nt
Filed under: Salmonella enterica
Lineage: Bacteria; Pseudomonadati; Pseudomonadota; Gammaproteobacteria; Enterobacterales; Enterobacteriaceae
Also listed under: 3 other names
Description: partial 23S ribosomal RNA
Rfam family: Bacterial large subunit ribosomal RNA
Source: RNAcentral
CCCCGGUAAACGGCGGCCGUAACUAUAACGGUCCUAAGGUAGCGAAAUUCCUUGUCGGGUAAGUUCCGACCUGCACGAAUGGCGUAAUGAUGGCCAGGCUGUCUCCACCCGAGACUCAGUGAAAUUGAACUCGCUGUGAAGAUGCAGUGUACCCGCGGCAAGACGGAAAGACCCCGUGAACCUUUACUAUAGCUUGACACUGAACAUUGAGCCUUGAUGUGUAGGAUAGGUGGGAGGCUUUGAAGUGUGG